AUUAAGCCAUGCAAGUCUUAGUACAGUACACACGGCCGGUACAGUGAAACUGUGAAUGGCUCAUUAAAUCAGUUAUGUUUCCUUUGAUCACUCCAAUGUUACUUGGAUAACUGUGGCAAUUUUAGAGCUAAGAUAUGCCAACAAGUCCUGACCUUCGGGGACAUGUGCAUUCAUCUUACCCAAAACCAAUACGGGGUGCUCUUGAGUGCCCCGGCCGCUUUUGGUGACCCUUUGUGGCAUUGGUGUCUCAUUGGAAUGUCUGCCCUAUUAACUUUCAAUGGUAAUUUCUGUACUUACCAUGGUGACCAUGGAUAAUAGAGAAUCAUGAAUCGAUUCCGGAAAGGGAGCCUGAGAAACGGCUACUAUACUGAACAAAAAUAUAAAUGCAACAUGCA
RNAcentral lists this non-coding RNA (395 nucleotides) under Salmo salar (Atlantic salmon). Its description in RNAcentral is "Eukaryotic small subunit ribosomal RNA". It matches the Rfam family "Eukaryotic small subunit ribosomal RNA", at positions 43 to 427 of the family's 1831-position model. Lineage: Eukaryota; Metazoa; Chordata; Actinopteri; Salmoniformes; Salmonidae. The record is from Rfam by way of RNAcentral.